Molecule: ribosomal RNA, 305 nt
Filed under: uncultured bacterium
Lineage: Bacteria
Description: bacterial SSU rRNA
Rfam family: Bacterial small subunit ribosomal RNA
Source: RNAcentral
AGGUUCUACGGGGGGCAGCAGUGAGGAAUAUUGGUCAAUGGGCUUACGCCUGAACCAGCCAAGUCGCGUGAGGGAAGACUGCCCUAUGGGUUGUAAACCUCUUUUGUCAGGGGGCAACGCCGGCUACGUGUAGCCGGACUGAGAGUACCUGAAGAAAAAGCAUCGGCUAACUCCGUGCCAGCAGCCGCGGUAAUACGUAGGGGGCAAGCGUUAUCCGGAAUUACUGGGAGUAAAGGGAGCGUAGACGGUUAAGUAAGUCUGGAGUGAAAGGCCGGGGCUCAACCCCGGGACUGCUCUGGAGACUA